GUGCUUGCUUUUGUAGCACACAUAGGAACACUGGAAUGACACAGAAAAGAUUAGCAUGGCUUCUAAACCAGGAUGACUCGCAACUUCACCACAUGCUCUAUAUUUUA
Fukomys damarensis (Damara mole-rat) is the source of this 107-nucleotide small nuclear RNA. Lineage: Eukaryota; Metazoa; Chordata; Mammalia; Rodentia; Bathyergidae. The record is from Ensembl.